AAGAGGAGCUUGCUCCUCUGAUUUAGCGGCGGACGGGUGAGUAACACGUGGGUAAUCUGCCUGUAAGACGGGGAUAACUCCGGGAAACCGGGGCUAAUACCGGAUAAUAAGAGAAGAAGCAUUUCUUCUUUUUGAAAGUCGGUUUCGGCUGACACUUACAGAUGAGCCCGCGGCGCAUUAGCUAGUUGGUGAGGUAACGGCUCACCAAGGCGACGAUGCGUAGCCGACCUGAGAGGGUGAUCGGCCACACUGGGACUGAGACACGGCCCAGACUCCUACGGGAGGCAGCAGUAGGGAAUCUUCGGCAAUGGGCGAAAGCCUGACCGAGCAACGCCGCGUGAGCGAUGAAGGCCUUCGGGUCGUAAAGCUCUGUUGUUAGAGAAGAACAAGUACGAGAGUAACUGCUCGUACCUUGACGGUACCUAACCAGAAAGCCACGGCUAACUACGUGCCAGCAGCCGCGGUAAUACGUAGGUGGCAAGCGUUAUCCGGAAUUAUUGGGCGUAAAGCGCGCGCAGGCGGUCUCUUAAGUCUGAUGUGAAAGCCCACGGCUCAACCGUGGAGGGUCAUUGGAAACUGGGAGACUUGAGUGCAGGAGAGAAAAGUGGAAUUCCACGUGUAGCGGUGAAAUGCGUAGAGA
RNAcentral lists this ribosomal RNA (640 nucleotides) under Fictibacillus sp. RNAcentral's name for it is "bacterial SSU rRNA". It matches the Rfam family "Bacterial small subunit ribosomal RNA", at positions 71 to 696 of the family's 1533-position model. Lineage: Bacteria; Bacillati; Bacillota; Bacilli; Caryophanales; Fictibacillaceae. The record is from RNAcentral.